This 492-nucleotide ribosomal RNA is filed under the name uncultured bacterium. RNAcentral's name for it is "partial 16S ribosomal RNA". It matches the Rfam family "Bacterial small subunit ribosomal RNA", at positions 29 to 507 of the family's 1533-position model. The record is from RNAcentral.
AGUGAACGCUGGCGGUAGGCCUAACACAUGCAAGUCGAACGGCAGCACAGUAAGAGCUCGCUCUUACGGGUGGCGAGUGGCGGGCGGGUGAGGAAUACAUCGGCAUCUACUUUUUCGUGGGGGACAACGUAGGGCAACUUACGCUAAUACCGCAUACGACCUACGGGUGAAAGCAGUGGAUCUUCGGACCUUGCGCGACUGAAUGAGCCGAUGUCGGAUUAGCUAGUUGGCGGGGUAAAGGCCCACCAAGGCGACGAUCCGUAGCUGGUCUGAGAGGAUGAUCAGCCACACUGGAACUGAGACACGGUCCAGACUCCUACGGGAGGCAGCAGUGGGGAAUAUUGGACAAUGGGCGCAAGCCUGAUCCAGCCAUACCGCGUGGGUGAAGAAGGCCUUCGGGUUGUAAAGCCCUUUUGUUGGGAAAGAAAAGCAGCAGGUUAAUACCCCGCUGUUCUGACGGUACCCAAAGAAUAAGCACCGGCUAACUUCGUG